RNAcentral lists this unclassified non-coding RNA (2049 nucleotides) under Penaeus japonicus. RNAcentral's name for it is "nucleoporin p58/p45-like, transcript variant X5". The record is from RNAcentral. Lineage: Eukaryota; Metazoa; Arthropoda; Malacostraca; Decapoda; Penaeidae.
ACAAGAGAAAACUAACCGUCAAACAAUCUCGAUAGCGUAACCCGCAUCGGCGCCCGAGCUCCCUUUCGCAACCUGGAUUUAAGGACCAAAACGAAGGCCUUUUCUCGCGCAAUUGCCUUGUGCUUCGCUGAUUGUGGAAACAAAGGAGCCAUGGCAACUUUUGGGAUCAAAUCAGGAGGAACGGCUGCAGGAGGAGCAGCAACAGGAGGGGGCUUCUCCUUUGGAAAUCAGAAUCCAGCAACAGGGGGUGGAUUCAGUUUUGGCCAGCCGCAGCAACAACAGGCAACACCUGCAGCAGCGGCAACAGCAGCAGCACCACAAGCAAACAAGAGUCUUUUCGGCACUCCUCCUGCUGGUACCCAGCGCCUUGGGUUUAAUUUCAGCACCCUGGGCGGUGCUCCAAACACCUCAACAGCUGCCACGACGACUUCUGCCUCCAGCUUCAGCUUCAACUCAACACCUGCCCCAGCUACCUCAACCACUACAUUUGGGGGGUUCAACUUCAGCAGUACACCAGCUGCCACCAGUUCAAGUGGCUUCUUGGGAGGUGCAACCCAGACCCAGACUGCAGGGACCACUGGCUUCAGUUUAGGAGGAUCCAACUUGGCCCCCACAGCGACCUCGAGUGCAGCAGGCUCCUCCUCAGGCUUCUCCUUCACAGGUCUUGGAGGGGCCACAGUGACCUCAGCUGCUCCAGCAACAGAUUUUUCGGCUGGAUUAGGGGGUGCACAGGCCUUGCAGACUUCACAGGCACCAAAGCUUGGAGGUGGCUUUGGGUUCACUAGUUUGCAGACCACCACUACCACCACAAGUUCCACAGGCCUGGGGGGUAUUAGCAUAGGGCUUGGAGGGGCACAACCCCCAUCGGCCAAUGCAGGUAACAACAACGUAGGAGCGAAGACCGAUGGCAAAUCUGCAAAAGAACAACUUGUGUCAAAUGACUUGUUUAGCACCAUUUCUGUCUUUGAAUCCCGUCGCGAUGCUGAGAACUCGGCCUCAGAGGAGAACAUCCGCCAAACAGCUGCCCCCUUUCACAAGGUAGCCAAGAAAGCAGAGGAGAUUCAGCAGCUGCUUGCUGAGCUAGCCAGCGAAUACCAGCAGCUUCAUGCCAGUGCCGUCAACCUUAAGGCAGAAGUUAUGAAGGAAGCAGAGCAUGUAGAGAUGGCCAGGCGGACCAAGGAGACGCCGAUGGCCCUGCAGGGGGAGAACAAAGCCCCCGAGAUGUACUUCAUCAACCUUGUUCGGUACUUUGAGUCCGAAAUGAUGUACUGCCGCACCAAAAUCGAGGAGGUGUCCUUGUGCAUGCAGGCUGCUAGUAACCCCUGUGAAACACCGGAUGACAUCUCGGAGGUUCUGCAGCACGAGCAUGACACCUUAAAGGAGCUGGCCAGCAAAGUGUAUACCAAGCACUCACAGCUUGUAGAGCUGGGCCACCGCCUCAACACCUCCGCCAUGCCCCAUGAGCAGGGUUUCUUCCGACCCCAGUCUAAGGAGGACACAAAGACCCCAGCUUCGGCUGUGGUGCGGCCAGUGCUGGGGGGCAGCAGCGGCCUUCAAGCAUUCCAGGAACAACAGGAGCGAGCCAAAGCAGUGACACUAGGUGCAGCCCCCCCAACCAUGCCCCUCGCACAGACUACCACACCCUCUAUGUUCGGAAGCAACCCGAAUGCCUCAAGCAUCUUCCCAACGGGUAGUGGCUACUUCGGGACAGGUAGCUUCAACCUUGGCUCACAGACAGCCAACACAUCCUUUGGGGGCUCCAAGACUUUUGGCACAAACACCUCCACCUUUGGGGCAUUUGGUAGCAACACCUCUGGGGUCCAGCAGUCAUCCCCAUUUGCCAUUAGCUCUCCCUUCAACACGAAGCCGUUUGGCUCGUGAGAAUGAAGGGCUCGGCUGGGGGUGAGAGAGAGAGAGAGGCACACCACUGUACACUUUGAGGGGAUGUUCGGAAAGUGAUGAUGAUGGUGAUAGCAGACGGAAAAGGCGCCUCUAAACGCUGGCAACGAAUUGUGUUCAAAUUACUUGUAUUAAGAUGUAAAGAAAUAU